UAACAUCAACAACAAAACACAACAUCGCAUAAGAGGCAUGAGUUUCUUUCAUAUCAUUUGUUCAUUAAACAUUUCCAAAUUCAUAAAUAGCAUAAGGGCAUUCUUCAUCAUCAAUCUUCAUUAACAAACAUCGUGUCGUGGAGAAGGCCUUCCCCAACGAACACGGGCAUCGCACCGUGAGGGGGAGCCUCCCUCAGCGGUCACGGCAUCGUACUAUUGAGGGAGGCCUCCCCCAAUAGACGCUGUAACACUGGCAUACUGGCAUACUGGCAUCGCGCCGCGAGAGAGGCCUCUCUCAGCGGACACUGGCAUCGCGCCGUGAGGAAGGCCCUCCUCAACGGACACGGCAUCGUACUGUUGAGGGAGGCCUCCCCCAACAGACGCAAGCAUCAAACAUAAGCAUAAAC
This 407-nucleotide long non-coding RNA is filed under the name Salvia miltiorrhiza (redroot sage). RNAcentral describes it as "long non-coding RNA (SMIL_LNC002755)". The record is from RNAcentral. Lineage: Eukaryota; Viridiplantae; Streptophyta; Magnoliopsida; Lamiales; Lamiaceae.